GUUGGGAAUCUUGCACAAUGGGGGCAACCCUGAUGCAGCGACGCCGCGUGGAGGAUGAAGGAUUUAGGUCUGUAAACUCCUUUUAUCAGGAAAGACUUAGGACGGUACCUGAUGAAUAAGCACCGGCUAACUACGUGCCAGCAGCCGCGGUAAGACGUAGGGUGCAAGCGUUGUCCGGAUUUACUGGGCGUAAAGAGCGCGUAGGCGGUCUGUUAAGUGAGAAGUGAAAUCUCCAGAGCUCAACUCGGAAAUUGCUUUUCAUACUGGCAGACUGGAGGGGUGCAGAGGUAAGUGGAAUUCCUGGUGUAGCGGUGGAAUGCGUUGAUAUCAGGAGGAACACCCAUGGCGAAGGCAGCUUACUGGGCACCAUCUGACGCUGAGGCGCGAAAGCGUGGGUAGCAAACAGGAUUAGAAACCCUUGUAGUCC
RNAcentral lists this ribosomal RNA (427 nucleotides) under uncultured bacterium. Its description in RNAcentral is "bacterial SSU rRNA". It matches the Rfam family "Bacterial small subunit ribosomal RNA", at positions 354 to 796 of the family's 1533-position model. The record is from RNAcentral.